AAUAAGGUUUUGUGUAUUUUUAAUGAUAAAUAUGAAAACUUUUUUUCCUAAAUAAAAAACAAAUCGACUGAUGUGUAUUUGUGGUGCGUGACCAGUCUGCGCUGGUAUAAGGUUAUAUUGCAACUAUUGCACAGGAAAUAGAGUCAUGCAUUUGAUCUCGUAAUGAAUGAAAAGUUUAAAGUGCAGCAUUUAUCAGAAUUUCACACAUCUUAAUAUACCUGCACGUAUAGAUCGAUAUAUAUAUCAACAUGAGCGAUUUACAAACCACCGUAUGGACGGUACCUGGAGGCAGUGGUGGUGUUUAAUCAUUGUUAUCUCAUUAUGUUAUCGCAAACUUUAAUCAGUCUAAUUUCUAUGACAGAUAUGGCAAAACUAUUAAGUGUAUUAAUUCAUUUAUAUAUUUCUUUGAUUUUAGCAAAAAUGAAUCUAGAAGACCUUAAACAAUAUAAACAUUCAUUUAAGCUAUUUUUCCAUUGUUACCAGACAUGGCUCAGUACCUUUUCGUAUGCUAUUUAGUAAAUUAUUUAUUUGUUCCUCCAGAGUUUAAGUAUCUAGUCAUCAAGCAAAGAAAAGAUAUGAAUAUAGAUUUCAUGCAAUGUCCAGUCAGCAAUUUCCCUGUCACUGAAGCAGCUGAAGCCGGUUCCUAGUACCAACUGUGCAGGGUCCCCAUGAUCAACAUGAAUCAAUCCAGAAACCAUCCGGCUAACAGUGAAAGGAUUGCUCUGUACUAACCAAGGAUUGUAGGCUUUGUCUUUGUGGAGCUGUGAGAUACUGGGCUUCUUUAUCUGGGCAAAGUAUUACAAUGGUUUACCAUAUGAGACUAUCCAUCAUUAUGUAAGAUUUCAAUAAGCAACAGGUUUAUUGGGUUGCAUAUAUACUGUAGAUAAAUCUUCCUCCUUCUGUUUGCCUUGGAGACAUCUGUUACUGAUUGAGUCAUUCAAAUCAGAGGGGUAUCAGCCAAAAAAAAAAACAUGAAAUUGGUCAAACUGAAGACCUUUGCCCUAGAAUGUCUAUGUUCUGGCAAAAAUAAGGGGAAGCCAGUCUGUUUGUAGAGCCGAGUAAGCGUUUAUGUGGGAGUGAGCUGAGGAAGCGAUGAGCCAGAGGAACCUCCUAAACAUGGAAUGGAGAGGAGAUGUAUAUUCCUUCAGUCAUUCCUAGUUGCAAGCAAAGAACCAAUGGCUGUCGUUUGGUGUCUUUUUGUGAUGUGACUGUGCCUAUUGUCUUGCUUGGGAUGGUGGCAAUUCCGCUUCUUCUAGCGUUAGUCUGCCGUUGUGGCAUCUCUUUCAUUGAUUGUGUGGGACUGUCUGCCUGUGAAUGAGCCAGAAGGCAGUUUUAUAAUAGCUGAAGCCGUGAGGCGAUGAGUAAUAACAACCUUAAAAAUGGGCUGCAAACAAGUUUCUGCCUUAAGCAUAUUUGUCAGAGUAGAUGUUCCUCCAGGCUGCUUGGAUGCUCCGGUUUACUGUUGGGUAAUUUCAACACCUGCUUGCUGUAGCUUGGUCAGACAACAGAGAGCCACACCGAGAAGACUUGCUGACUGAGUGAUUGUGGUUUUCUUUUCUUUUUUUCUUUUUAAAUCUCGUAAACACCCACAGCUCACAGGAUGUCUAUUGUGCUGCUCAGAAAGGGGUAACUAACGGGCAAGGGUAGAUUUACGUAGAUCUUUAGAAUUCUGUAUCCACAGAGAAUUUGCUAGAUUACCAAGAAUUCUAGAUUCUUGAUUGGGUUAUGUUGGAUACUAGCAGUUGUAAUACAUGAUUUGGUAUAGUCCUGCAGAACCCUUGGUACACUUGUCUAUAAAGGCACAGUUUGUCUCCCAUGAACACUUGCAGGAUAUAAGAAAACACUCAUUGUUGUCUUUACAUAAGGGAAUAAAUGCUGAGGAAAACACUGAAUGAGAGAACAGCAGACUCUUUGAGCAAGGAAAGGAUUUUAAAAAUAUGGCUCAGAUUGUGGAUAUAAAAUGGGAAGUAUCGGAAGUGAAUGAGGACUAAAGUGCUUAGAUGGGUCUGUCUUGUGACUUUGAAUGAGGUGUCUGUUUAAACUGGUGCUGCUUAAGUAGACAAUAGGUACUGUAUGCUGUUGCGAAACAGGUCUGUCAGCUGUUUUUGUAGAACUGCUGUUCUGAAAAUUGUCCUUUGGAAAAUGAGUCUUGCGUGUAACAGGGCAUUAACCGAGUGUCAGGGACGAUCGUGCCAUUUUCUGCGUACAGUCCUAUCCGUGCUAUUGGUUCGUGAUGAGAAGCAUCUCAGGAUACACUUGUUUAUUCGUUCGUAUGGAUGGGAUGAAGAUAAGACUCAGACAUCUGAAAAGUAAAAACAAAGCAAAGGGAAGCACGGCAUGUUCUUACGCCCCGCAGGGGAGGGCUGGAAGGAAUUUGAGAGCAGGGCCCAACAUGUCAGGGCCAGUGGGACAUGACAAAAUGAGAAAAAACAAGGGACAGAAAUGUAAAAGCCAAGGUAAACACUUACUGUGAUCCUAGAUAUGUAUUCACGGCAAAUGGCGAAUAGGCAGGCUGGGUGGGAGGAGUUAUGAGACACCCCCUGAAAAUCACUGGCCAGCAACAAUCAGCUGAUGUCAGUUGUUUUUUUUUUUUUUUUAACCCUUUUUGGUUUGACCACAUUUUAGCUAUUGCCAUGAAGAAAUGUGAUUUAGAAAUCGACUUCAUCAGUCUGCUUAUGGCCAUGGAUAGCAAUCUGUUGAAUAUAUAUGUAGCCAAGUGACCAAUAACCAAAUAAUGCCAAAUGAAGCUGGUAUACGUCAGAAGAAAUCGACAGAAUUUAUAUCUUUUUGGUACAUCGAUAUCGUAAGAGUGUUUUGGCGUGUCAUCAGUGCAGGGUCCCCGAGGUUCACCAUGGAUCUGUACUGGAUAAGUCAUGGAUGGAUAUAAUCUCUGAUCAACACUUUGGUGAAGACCAGGAAGCAGGAAUGCUGAAAAAUAACAUAUAAUGUAACAUUAGGCAUUUCGCAAUAAAUAAAUGUUGUUCAGACAUGUCUGUAAAGUAAAAAACCAGUUAUGUGACUGUUGUACUUUGUCAUUCCCUCCAUUUCGAACUGCAAGACUUAACGUAACUGCUAAACAAGUGUCAGCUAUCAUUCACCAGAUGCACUAAAAAAUCUUCGUUAUGGUGCCAACAGAACCUUGGGUGUCUUAGGUUUUGCUUUGCGUCUCAGCCGCCCACAAUAAAAACACAGAAACCAAGCAUAUUUAAUACUCUUUAUUGGUUCAGCAGAAACCUUUCGCACUAUGGCUAACACACUGAAAAGGUGUCGUUGAGGGCGCAAUGCUGCUUGGACAAAGACGGUGUGGAUCGCCAAGGCAACUUUAUAAUGGACCGCAGCAGCAUACUCAUGUCACCUCUUAGUACAAUCACACACGAUCAAACAUAGUAAAGCAUUACAAAAACUAAGCAGUUCCAUAUUUCAUACGCUAGGUCCUUACACACAUACAAGAAUGUAACUUCUAUUGCUUUAAGGACAUCAAAUAUAUAAAUUGACUACAACUCGAGGAAGCAUUUCAUUGGAAAUUGUUGAAAAGGACAAAUUUGUGUGCAAUGCAAUAGGCCAAGAGAGGUUA
Long non-coding RNA from Brienomyrus brachyistius, 3574 nucleotides. RefSeq lists it as uncharacterized. NCBI's taxonomy places the organism in Eukaryota, Metazoa, Chordata, Actinopteri, Osteoglossiformes, Mormyridae. The record is from RefSeq and is a predicted model, not a curated record. The transcript has 2 exons.